AGAGUUUGAUCCUGGCUACAAGAACGAACGCUGGCGGGGUGCCUUAUACAUGCAAGUCCAGCGGCCUGUCGGGAGCUUGCUCCCUUAGGUCAGCGGCGGGCGGGUGAGUAACACGUGGGUAACCUKCCUGUAAGACUGGGAUAACUCCGGGAAAACCGGGGACUAAUACCGGAUGCUUGACUGACCCGCACGGUUCAAUCAUAAAAGGUGGCUUUUAGUUCCUACUUUCAGAUGGGCGCGCGACACAUAAUCUAGUUGGUGAGGUAACGGCUCACCAAGAUGACGAUGAGUAGCCGACCUCAGAGGGUGAUCGCCCACCCUGGGGUUGAGACGCGGCCCCCACUCCUCCGGGAGGCAGCAGUAGGGAAUAUUCCGCAAUGAAGGAAAGUCGACGGAGCAACGCCGCGUGAGUGAUGAAGGUUUUCGCAUGGUAAAAAUCUGUUGUUAGGGAAGAACAAGUACCGUUCGAAUAGGGCGGUACCUUAUCGGUGCCCAACCAGAAAAACCCGCGUAUAUCUGUGCCACCACCCCCGGUAAUACGUAGGUGGCAAGAGUUUUCCGGAAUUUUUGGGGGUAAAACGCGCGCAGGCGGUUUUUUAAAUGUGAUGUGAAAACCCCCGGCUCAACCGGGGAGGGUCAUUGGAAACUGGGGAACUUGAGAGCAGAAGAGGAGAGUGGAAUUCCACGUGUAUCGGUGAAAAAUGUGGAGAUAUGGAGAAGCACCACUGGGGAAAAGGCCUCUUCGGUGUGUAACUGACGCGGAGGCGCGAAAAAGUGGGGAGAGCACACAAUAAUAUACCCCGGUAGACCCCACCCCAAACGAUGAGUGCUAAGUGUUAGAGGGCUCCGCCCUUUAGUGCCGCAGCUAACGCAUAAGCACUCCGCCCUGG
This 890-nucleotide ribosomal RNA is filed under the name Bacillus licheniformis. RNAcentral's name for it is "bacterial SSU rRNA". It matches the Rfam family "Bacterial small subunit ribosomal RNA", at positions 9 to 873 of the family's 1533-position model. The record is from RNAcentral. Lineage: Bacteria; Bacillati; Bacillota; Bacilli; Caryophanales; Bacillaceae.